Molecule: ribosomal RNA, 416 nt
Filed under: uncultured eukaryote
Lineage: Eukaryota
Description: SSU rRNA
Rfam family: Eukaryotic small subunit ribosomal RNA
Source: RNAcentral
AGCUCCACUAGCGUAUAUUAAAAUUGUUGCGGUUAAAACGUUCGAAGUUUGAUUUUGUCCAGCACGGGUAUUACGCCUAAAGUUACUGGUUGUAAACACCCUUGAUGCUAGGACUACAAGUUUGUGGCACCCAUUGCCAUUUCGGUGGUCGUGGGGUAAAUUGCCCUUGUGGUAAGCCCAACUAUUAAUUACCUUGAACAAAUUAGAGUGCUCAAAGCAGGCUAUUAUUGCCUUGAAUAAUCUUGCAUGGAAUAAUGGAAUAAGACCUCGAUCAAUAUAUUUCAUUGGUUUGAAUCGAUCAAGAGGUAAUGAUUAAUAAAAGCAGUUGGGGGCAUUAGUAUUACGACGCGAGAGGUGAAAUUCAUAGACCGUCGUAAGACUAACUGAAGCGAAAGCAUUUGCCAAGGAUGUUUUCC